AUUGAACGCUGGCGGCAUGCCUUACACAUGCAAGUCGAACGGCAGCACGGAGCUUGCUCUGGUGGCGAGUGGCGAACGGGUGAGUAAUAUAUCGGAACGUACCCUAGAGUGGGGGAUAACGUAGCGAAAGUUACGCUAAUACCGCAUACGAUCUAAGGAUGAAAGUGGGGGAUCGCAAGACCUCAUGCUCGUGGAGCGGCCGAUAUCUGAUUAGCUAGUUGGUAGGGUAAAAGCCUACCAAGGCAUCGAUCAGUAGCUGGUCUGAGAGGACGACCAGCCACACUGGAACUGAGACACGGUCCAGACUCCUACGGGAGGCAGCAGUGGGGAAUUUUGGACAAUGGGCGAAAGCCUGAUCCAGCAAUGCCGCGUGAGUGAAGAAGGCCUUCGGGUUGUAAAGCUCUUUUGUCAGGGAAGAAACGGUGAGAGCUAAUAUCUCUUGCUAAUGACGGUACCUGAAGAAUAAGCACCGGCUAACUACGUGCCAGCAGCCGCGGUAAUACGUAGGGUGCAAGCGUUAAUCGGAAUUACUGGGCGUAAAGCGUGCGCAGGCGGUUUUGUAAGUCUGAUGUGAAAUCCCCGGGCUCAACCUGGGGAUUGCAUUGGAGACUGCAAGGCUAGAAUCUGGCAGAGGGGGGUAGAAUUCCACGUGUAGCAGUGAAAUGCGUAGAUAUGUGGAGGAACACCGAUGGCGAAGGCAGCCCCCUGGGUCAAGAUUGACGCUCAUGCACGAAAGCGUGGGGAGCAAACAGGAUUAGAUACCCUGGUAGUCCACGCCCUAAACGAUGUCUACUAGUUGUCGGGUCUUAAUUGACUUGGUAACGCAGCUAACGCGUGAAGUAGACCGCCUGGGGAGUACGGUCGCAAGAUUAAAACUCAAAGGAAUUGACGGGGACCCGCACAAGCGGUGGAUGAUGUGGAUUAAUUCGAUGCAACGCGAAAAACCUUACCUACCCUUGACAUGGCUGGAAUCCCCGAGAGAUUGGGGAGUGCUCGAAAGAGAACCAGUACACAGGUGCUGCAUGGCUGUCGUCAGCUCGUGUCGUGAGAUGUUGGGUUAAGUCCCGCAACGAGCGCAACCCUUGUCAUUAGUUGCUAUGAAAGGGCACUCUAAUGAGACUGCCGGUGACAAACCGGAGGAAGGUGGGGAUGACGUCAAGUCCUCAUGGCCCUUAUGGGUAGGGCUUCACACGUCAUACAAUGGUACAUACAGAGCGCCGCCAACCCGCGAGGGGGAGCUAAUCGCAGAAAGUGUAUCGUAGUCCGGAUUGUAGUCUGCAACUCGACUGCAUGAAGUUGGAAUCGCUAGUAAUCGCGGAUCAGCAUGUCGCGGUGAAUACGUUCCCGGGUCU
RNAcentral lists this ribosomal RNA (1352 nucleotides) under uncultured bacterium. RNAcentral describes it as "bacterial SSU rRNA". It matches the Rfam family "Bacterial small subunit ribosomal RNA", at positions 28 to 1381 of the family's 1533-position model. The record is from RNAcentral.